This is a long non-coding RNA of Macrobrachium nipponense, 563 nucleotides long. RefSeq lists it as uncharacterized. The record is from RefSeq and is a predicted model, not a curated record. The transcript is spliced from 3 exons. NCBI's taxonomy places the organism in Eukaryota, Metazoa, Arthropoda, Malacostraca, Decapoda, Palaemonidae.
GUUCGUGGUGUGUUCAAGUGUCGAGUCUAAAGAGGUAGGAGGGACUCUGGGUCAGUUCUGGAAACUUUUCUAAAUUGGAGUGAAGAGUUUGAGACCUGCUUCUAUAAAGGAAGUUUAAUUCGAUGUGACAGCUUUGUUCUGAGCGCUGCAAUACUGAGGUUUGAUAACUUUUCUUGACUUUUAACUCUGAGCCUGGCUCAUUCUUCAGAAUUUCUACUACUGGGAAUCUGUUACAACUUAUGAAGGCUCGUGUGCCUCGUGCUGACUGAGAUUUGGUUGGGUAUCUUGCAACCGAUCUACUUCCAGUAAGUUUCUCUGGACUUCCACUAGACUCUGUAUAUUGUCAUUCAGAGGAUAAUUUUCUAAUAUGUAACUUUUGAAUAUUUUUGUUACGUACUUGCACUUAAUGCUGUAACUUUAGUUAGAUUACUGUACCAAAAUUUUUUCUUCACAAACUUUUUUUUCACAAUAAACCAGUAUUACUCUUUAUUGCUUAGCAUCGUUUAAGUGUAGUAAUAAGUGUUUUUAUAAGGUCUCUUACAAAUAAAUUUGAGUAUCUUGGU